AGAGUUUGAUCCUGGCUCAGGACGAACGCUGGCGGCGUGCCUAAUACAUGCAAGUCGAGCGGACUUGAUGGAGAGCUUGCUCUCCUGAGAGUUAGCGGCGGACGGGUGAGUAACACGUAGGCAACCUACCCUCAAGACUGGGAUAACUACCGGAAACGGUAGCUAAUACCAGAUAGGUCACUUUCUCGCAUGAGAGAGUG
Molecule: ribosomal RNA, 200 nt
Filed under: uncultured bacterium
Lineage: Bacteria
Description: partial 16S ribosomal RNA
Rfam family: Bacterial small subunit ribosomal RNA
Source: RNAcentral